GACGACGACGGGUAGCCGGCCUGAGAGGGCGACCGGCCACACUGGGACUGAGACACGGCCCAGACUCCUACGGGAGGCAGCAGUGGGGAAUAUUGCACAAUGGGGGAAACCCUGAUGCAGCGACGCAGCGUGCGGGAUGACGGCCUUCGGGUUGUAAACCGCUUUCAGCAGGGAAGAAGCGCAAGUGACGGUACCUGCAGAAGAAGUACCGGCUAACUACGUGCCAGCAGCCGCGGUAAUACGUAGGGUACGAGCGUUGUCCGGAAUUAUUGGGCGUAAAGAGCUCGUAGGUGGUUGGUCACGUCUGCUGUGRAAACSCAACGCUUAACSUUGSGCGUGCAGUGGGUACGGGCUGACUAGAGUGCAGUAGGGGAGUCUGGAAUUCCUGGUGUAGCGGUGAAAUGCGCAGAUAUCAGGAGGAACACCGGUGGCGAAGGCGGGACUCUGGGCUGUAACUGACACUGAGGAGCGAAAGCAUGGGGAGCGAACAGGAUUAGAUACCCUGGUAGUCCAUGCCGUAAACGUUGGGCACUAGGUGUGGGGGGCAUUCCACGUUCUCCGCGCCGUAGCUAACGCAUUAAGUGCCCCGCCUGGGGGAGUACGG
RNAcentral lists this ribosomal RNA (604 nucleotides) under Brevibacterium sp. CMT150. Its description in RNAcentral is "bacterial SSU rRNA". It matches the Rfam family "Bacterial small subunit ribosomal RNA", at positions 272 to 885 of the family's 1533-position model. Lineage: Bacteria; Bacillati; Actinomycetota; Actinomycetes; Micrococcales; Brevibacteriaceae. The record is from RNAcentral.